This 500-nucleotide ribosomal RNA is filed under the name uncultured bacterium. RNAcentral describes it as "partial 16S ribosomal RNA". It matches the Rfam family "Bacterial small subunit ribosomal RNA", at positions 30 to 523 of the family's 1533-position model. The record is from RNAcentral.
AUUGAACGCUGGCGGAAUGCUUUACACAUGCAAGUCGAACGGCAGCACGGACUUCGGUCUGGUGGCGAGUGGCGAACGGGUGAGUAAUACAUCGGAACGUGCCCAGUCGUGGGGGAUAACGUAGCGAAAGCUACGCUAAUACCGCAUACGAUCUACGGAUGAAAGCGGGGGAUCGCAGGACCUCGCGCGACUGGAGCGGCCGAUGGCAGAUUAGGUAGUUGGUAGGGUAAAGGCCUACCAAGCCGACGAUCUGUAGCUGGUCUGAGAGGAUGAUCAGCCACACUGGGACUGAGACACGGCCCAGACUCCUACGGGAGGCAGCAGUGGGGAAUUUUGGACAAUGGACGCAAGUCUGAUCCAGCCAUUCCGCGUGCAGGAUGAAGGCCCUCGGGUUGUAAACUGCUUUUGUACAGAACGAAAAGGCUCUGGUUAAUACCUGGGGCUCAUGACGGUACUGUAAGAAUAAGCACCGGCUAACUACGUGCCAGCAGCCGCGGUAA